CGGUGUGGUCGCGGCCUCCGGGGGCUCCCCCCGGGCGGUAGAGGUAACACUCUUACGCGCCACAUGUCUGAAUCCUUUUUUUACGAGCACCUUUCGUUCUCCUUCGGUGGGGCAACCUGCCGUUGGAACUUAUUAAAACCUUUUUUUGCAUCUAGCAUUACCUGUUCAGAUACAAACAAUCGUUACAACUUUCAACAAUGGAUCUCUUGGCUCUGGCAUCGAUGAAGAACGCAGCGAAAUGCGAUAAGUAGUGUGAAUUGCAGAAUUCAGUGAAUCAUCGAAUCUUUGAACGCACAUUGCGCCCCUUGGUAUUCCAUGGGGCAUGCCUGUUCGAGCGUCAUCUACACCCUCAAGCUCUGCUUGGUGUUGGGCGUCUGUCCCGCCUCUGCGCGUGGACUCGCCCCAAAUUCAUUGGCAGCGGUCUUUGCCUCCUCUCGCGCAGCACAUUGCGCUUCAGAGGGGUGUGGGCCGCGUCCACGAAGCAACAUUAUCGUCUUUGACCUCGGAUCAGGUAGGGAUACCCGCUGAACUUAAGCAUAUCAAUAAGCGGAGGAAAAGAAACCAACAGGGAUUGCCCUAGUAACGGCGAGUGAAGCGGCAACAGCUCAAAUUUGAAAUCUGGCUCUCUUUGGGGGUCCGAGUUGUAAUUUGCAGAGGAUGCUUUGGCAUUGGCGGCGGUCUAAGUUCCUUGGAACAGGACAUCGCAGAGGGUGAGAAUCCCGUACGUGGGCGCCUGCCUUUGCCGUGUAAAGCUCCUUCGA
This 761-nucleotide ribosomal RNA is filed under the name Microsphaeropsis arundinis. RNAcentral describes it as "eukaryotic LSU rRNA". The stretch from base 498 to 761 matches the Rfam family "Eukaryotic large subunit ribosomal RNA", at positions 1 to 260 of the family's 3401-position model. Lineage: Eukaryota; Fungi; Ascomycota; Dothideomycetes; Pleosporales; Didymellaceae. The record is from RNAcentral.